This 225-nucleotide ribosomal RNA is filed under the name Agelaia cajennensis. RNAcentral's name for it is "partial small subunit ribosomal RNA". The record is from RNAcentral. Lineage: Eukaryota; Metazoa; Arthropoda; Insecta; Hymenoptera; Vespidae.
UUAAAUCAUUAAAUUUAAAAGAUUUGGCGGUAUUUUAAUAAAUUAGAGGAACCUGUAAUUUAAUUGAUAAUCCACGAUAAGAAAAACUUAAUUAUUUAUGUAUUGCUGUUUUUAGAUUAUUAUUAAUUAAGUUUUUAAUUUUUUAAUUUAGAAUAAUUCAAGUCAAAAUAUAGUAUUAUUAAGUUAUGGGUUACAUUUUAAAUUUGAAAUUGGAUUUAAUAGUAA